AACAUUCAUUGCUGUCGGUGGGUUUUCAUUGCUAUCAACUCACUGAUCAAUGAAUGCAAA
Molecule: microRNA precursor, 60 nt
Filed under: Gallus gallus (chicken)
Lineage: Eukaryota; Metazoa; Chordata; Aves; Galliformes; Phasianidae
Description: Gga-Mir-181-P2b_pre stem-loop
Rfam family: mir-181 microRNA precursor family
About the family: In this case the mature sequence comes from the 5' arm of the precursor. The extents of the hairpin precursors are not generally known and are estimated based on hairpin prediction.
Source: RNAcentral